Molecule: long non-coding RNA, 382 nt
Organism: Symphalangus syndactylus (siamang)
Lineage: Eukaryota; Metazoa; Chordata; Mammalia; Primates; Hylobatidae
Source: RefSeq, a predicted model, not a curated record
UCUCGAUCUGAAAUGUGUUGCUAGGUGAAGAUUCCAACUUCCUGGGCAUAGGGCCUUGUAGUGGAGUAGAGGUACCUGGCUUCGGACGAGACUUGGACCACCAUGAAAUAAUGUUUGGUCACUUCUGCAGGAGAAUCCUCAUCAGCAUCACUUGGGAGAUUAUGGUGGCCUCCAUGUCAGACCUCCUGAAUCAGAAUAUCAGAGAAGGGGACCCAGGUUACCAUGCUUCAUCUGCCAAUACAUUGAAAACUUGAGCUGUAAAUUAAUUCAACCAUUGUGGAAGAUGGUGUAGUGAUUCCUUAAAGAGCUAGAAGCAGAAGUACCUUUUGAUCCAGAAAUCCCAUUACUGUGUAUGCACCCAAAGGAAUAUAAACCAUUCUAU